Molecule: small RNA, 688 nt
Filed under: Pongo abelii (Sumatran orangutan)
Lineage: Eukaryota; Metazoa; Chordata; Mammalia; Primates; Hominidae
Description: retained intron
Source: RNAcentral
AGGGCCUGAAUACACAAAGCGCUGAGAGAGUGGGGCAGUGUGGUCACGGACACAGGCAGGGACUGGGAUGUGACAGGCUGGAGCUCAGGGACUUGUUGGGGGAAUGGGGGUCAGUGACAGGCUGGAGGCUUAAUGCAAGGAUGGAGGCUUGGCUCUAGGGGCAGCACCUGGGGUGGCCAUGGGAUCUCAGGGAGGGGAGUGGGAGUCAGAGAAAGGGUCUUAGAGAGGCUGGGGCUUUGUGAGGAGCUAAGGGAGACACUGAUCGGGGUGGGGACCCUGCAGGCAAAAACCUGAUUGUAGUGACAGAGGUGGGGUUUCUCCGCACGACGGUCAUGGGGGCCUUGGCAGGAGCGGUUUUGGCAGAGGGUGGGGCCGGUGCCUCUAGAAGGUAUGAAGAUGUAAAUGAAGCCCUGUCCAGGCUAUGGGCAUCAAGACAGCAUUGCCGGCGGCUGAGCUGGGCCUCUACUCUCUGGUGCUGAGUGGGGCCCUGGCCUAUGCUGGCCGGGGCCUCCUUGAGGCUUCACAAGAUGGGGCCCACAGGAAGGCCUUCCGGGAGUCUGUGCGACCCGGCUGGGAGUACAUUGGCCGGAAGAUGGAUGUGGCUGAUUUCGAGUGGGUGAUGUGGUUCACCUCCUUUCGCAACGUCAUCAUCUUCGCCCUCUCCGGACAUGUGCUGUUUGCUAAACUC